UACGGGGGGGGCAAGCGUUGUUCGGAAUUACUGGGCGUAAAGGGCUCGUAGGCGGCCAACUAAGUCGGACGUGAAAUCCCUCGGCUUAACCGGGGAACUGCGUCUGAUACUGGAUGGCUUGAGUUCGGGAGAGGGAUGCGGAAUUCCAGGUGUAGCGGUGAAAUGCGUAGAUAUCUGGAGGAAUACCGGUGGCGAAGGCGGCAUCCUGGACCGACACUGACGCUGAGGAGCGAAAGCCAGGGGAGCAAACGGG
RNAcentral lists this ribosomal RNA (253 nucleotides) under uncultured bacterium. RNAcentral describes it as "partial 16S ribosomal RNA". It matches the Rfam family "Bacterial small subunit ribosomal RNA", at positions 524 to 776 of the family's 1533-position model. The record is from RNAcentral.